Molecule: long non-coding RNA, 312 nt
Organism: Vicia villosa (hairy vetch)
Lineage: Eukaryota; Viridiplantae; Streptophyta; Magnoliopsida; Fabales; Fabaceae
Exons: 3
Source: RefSeq, a predicted model, not a curated record
GUUUAUUGUGAUUUUGAUGGUUCAAGUGAUUUGUGUUUCAACCAACAGGGGGUCUAAAAGCCUAAAGUUGUUACCUUUGAGCAUUUCAUAUUUAUAUUGUUGAAAAAUAUAAUAUCUUUAAGCAUGUCCUCAAACUAAAACUGAAGAAAUCAUCACAAAUAUUUUCUAUGAUUGUGUUGUUCAGGUAUAACAUAAAUAUAAUAGUAUCUCAAAGAUGACAGGAGGAAGUAUGGACAUAUCACAUUUUAUGUCACAGAAGGAUAGAUAUUCAAUUUAAAUGUUUAUUUAAGUUGUAAUAAUAAUAUAUGUGAA